Molecule: long non-coding RNA, 484 nt
Organism: Armigeres subalbatus
Lineage: Eukaryota; Metazoa; Arthropoda; Insecta; Diptera; Culicidae
Exons: 3
Source: RefSeq, a predicted model, not a curated record
GAUAGAACGGCGUCGGUCGGAACGGGUGCUCGUACUGUCGCGUGAUUCAAAGCAACCCUGUAUAGAUUAUUUUGCAUUGGUGCGAACAGUUCGAUUCGGGCACGCAAGUAAUUCGGCAUCGGUCAGCUGUUUUUCCAUCCGCAGUUUACGGCGCGCUUUUCCGGAUGCUGUCCCUGUAGGGUUCCACCAAACGUUAACUAAGCUUGUUUGUUUGCUGCCCAGUAGUUACAACGAAUGUAAAUUCAUCCUCCCACGGAAAUAGAUGCAACGGUCUGUGUAAACGUGUUGGGCCUGAAUUAAAUGAGAAAAGCCAUUAAUCAUCAGUGGCCAUAAAUUUGCAAUCGAUUUUUUAUUGAUGUGGUAAACACUAGCCGACAUGAAAGGUGCAAUCACGUGUAAGCGAAUCGUCAGUCACGCGUGGCUGAAAGUUAUUCAGAAAUCGUGAAAUAGAUCAUGUGUUAGUCACGCAACUACUGUAUUCACC